RNAcentral lists this ribosomal RNA (195 nucleotides) under uncultured Saccharomycetes. RNAcentral describes it as "partial 26S ribosomal RNA". It matches the Rfam family "Eukaryotic large subunit ribosomal RNA", at positions 62 to 261 of the family's 3401-position model. The record is from RNAcentral. Lineage: Eukaryota; Fungi; Ascomycota; Saccharomycetes. RNAcentral also lists the same sequence under 1 other name.
AAACCAACAGGGAUUGCCUCAGUAGCGGCGAGUGAAGCGGCAAGAGCUCAGAUUUGAAAUCGUGCUUUGCGGCACGAGUUGUAGAUUGCAGGUUGGAGUCUGUGUGGAAGGCGGUGUCCAAGUCCCUUGGAACAGGGCGCCCAGGAGGGUGAGAGCCCCGUGGGAUGCCGGCGGAAGCAGUGAGGCCCUUCUGAC